Molecule: long non-coding RNA, 817 nt
Filed under: Pan troglodytes (chimpanzee)
Lineage: Eukaryota; Metazoa; Chordata; Mammalia; Primates; Hominidae
Description: long non-coding RNA NONPTRT000871
Source: RNAcentral
CGAAGAGUGGGGACAGCGGUGAGGCUGGAGAGGAGAUCAGGGGUCUUGCAGGAUAAGGCGAAGAGGCUGGACUUUUUUCUAAGAUCAGUUGUAGGGGGGACACUGGAGGAUCUGAGGCAGGAGAAGACGAGACCUGACCUAUAUUGGGGAUCGACCCCUGGUCUUGGGGGGAGAAUGGGUGCAGACGCAGGGAAGGCAAGGAAGAGGCUGCACAGCUGCCCAGCAGAGACGACAGGGCCUGGACUAAUGGGCAGUACAGGAGCUGGAGGGGAGGGAGAGGCACCCCAGAGUCAGGAUUGACUGGACCUGCUGACAGAUGGGUGGGUGUGAGCAAAAUGGAGGCCCCCAAACAUGAGCCCUGGAAGUGGGGCCUGAGCAGAGGGAUGGGCAGUGGAGGUGCUCACAGACACGGGGAGGCGGAAGCAGAGGGGUUUGGUGGAGGGUUUAGGUGUGUUUAGGCUGAAGACCCCCAGGCGCAGAUGUCCAGUUGUCAGGUGUACGGGGUAACUGUGAUGAUAAAAGGGAAGAACACCUGGAGAACAUGGAGCAGCACACCCAGCAUAACAACAGCAACAUAACAACACCAGCCUAACAACACAACACCAGCAUAACAGCAGUGCAGCAACACCAGCGUAACAACAACAUAACAACACCAGAGUAACAACAGCAACACAACAGCACCGGCGUAACAUAACAACAUCAGAAUAACAGCAGUGCAACACCAGUGUAACAACAUAACAACAGCAGAGUAACAACAGCAACGUAACAACACUGGUGUAACAACAACAUAACAACACCAGAGUAACAACAGCAAUGU